This 202-nucleotide ribosomal RNA is filed under the name uncultured bacterium. RNAcentral describes it as "partial 16S ribosomal RNA". It matches the Rfam family "Bacterial small subunit ribosomal RNA", at positions 28 to 229 of the family's 1533-position model. The record is from RNAcentral.
GACGAACGCUGGCGGCGUGCUUAACACAUGCAAGUCGAGCGGUAAGGCCCGUUUCGGGGUACGACGAGCGGCGAACGGGUGAGUAACACGUGGGUGACCUGCCCUCAGCUCUGGGAUAAGCCUGGGAAACCGGGUCUAAUACUGGAUAUGACUCCAUGACGCAUGUUGGUGGGGUGGAAAGCCUUGUGCGGCUGAGGAUGGG